Molecule: non-coding RNA, 98 nt
Organism: Mycena latifolia
Lineage: Eukaryota; Fungi; Basidiomycota; Agaricomycetes; Agaricales; Mycenaceae
Source: the annotation of a GenBank genome assembly
GGCCCAGUGGCGGAUGGUCCGCACCCGCAAAGGAUAGAUAUGCACAAAUGAAGUGACUACUUCUGCGGAAGACGCUCGUUCGAAUCGAGCCUGGGCCA